This 253-nucleotide ribosomal RNA is filed under the name uncultured bacterium. RNAcentral describes it as "partial 16S ribosomal RNA". It matches the Rfam family "Bacterial small subunit ribosomal RNA", at positions 524 to 776 of the family's 1533-position model. The record is from RNAcentral.
UACGUAGGGUGCAAGCGUUGUCCGGAAUUAUUGGGCGUAAAGAGCUCGUAGGCGGUUUGUCGCGUCGGCUGUGAAAACCUGGGGCUCAACCCCGGGCCUGCAGCCGAUACGGGCAAACUAGAAUUCGGUAGGGGAGUCCGGAAUUCCUGGUGUAGCGGUGAAAUGCGCAGAUAUCAGGAGGAACACCGGUGGCGAAGGCGGGACUCUGGGCCGAUAUUAACGCUGAGGAGCGAAAGCGUGGGGAGCAAACAGG